AUUGAACGCUGGCGGCAGGCUUAACACAUGCAAGUCGAGCGGGGGAAGGUAGCUUGCUACCGGACCUAGCGGCGGACGGGUGAGUGAUGCUUAGGAAUCUGCCUAUUAGUGGGGGACAACAUCUCGAAAGGGAUGCUAAUACCGCAUACGUCCUACGGGAGAAAGCAGGGGAUCUUCGGACCUUGCGCUAAUAGAUGAGCCUAAGUCGGAUUAGCUAGUUGGUGGGGUAAAGGCCUACCAAGGCGACGAUCUGUAGCGGGUCUGAGAGGAUGAUCCGCCACACUGGACUGAGACACGGCCCAGACUCCUACGGGAGGCAGCAGUGGGGAAUAUUGGACAAUGGGGGGAACCCUGAUCCAGCCAUGCCGCGUGUGUGAAGAAGGCCUUAUGGUUGUAAAGCACUUUAAGCGAGGAGGAGGCUACUUUAGUUAAUACCUAGAGAUAGUGGACGUUACUCGCAGAAUAAGCACCGGCUAACUCUGUGCCAGCCGCCGCCGUAA
This 500-nucleotide ribosomal RNA is filed under the name uncultured bacterium. RNAcentral's name for it is "partial 16S ribosomal RNA". It matches the Rfam family "Bacterial small subunit ribosomal RNA", at positions 30 to 523 of the family's 1533-position model. The record is from RNAcentral.